Molecule: transfer-messenger RNA, 397 nt
Filed under: Flavobacterium supellecticarium
Lineage: Bacteria; Pseudomonadati; Bacteroidota; Flavobacteriia; Flavobacteriales; Flavobacteriaceae
Description: Standard tmRNA
Rfam family: transfer-messenger RNA
About the family: Bacterial tmRNA, also known as 10Sa RNA or SsrA, is named for its dual tRNA and mRNA-like properties. Its role is to liberate the mRNA from a stalled ribosome.
Source: Rfam by way of RNAcentral
GGGGACGACUGGUUUUGACAGCGAGUGGAAUUGGACAGUAAGCACGUCGAGCGCUGGGACACAGCUCGUAAAUAUCAUGUUUCAAACUUAUAAACGGCGAAAAUAAUUACGCUUUAGCUGCUUAAUCCGAAUUAUAGUACGAUUUGCCUAGUUCCGACAAGGUCGGAAAGCUGGAUUCUCCUCAAAAGCCUUGGUUUAUGGCGUUUGGAAUAGGGGAACCGUAAAAGUAAACCUAGGAACGGUAAUGCUUUAAAUCCGUUCUGACACUGAUAAAGCUAAGCAAAAAGUGGCGGUUUCCGGCCUUGCUUUUUGUCGAAAAUUUAAUCGGAAACUAAGCGUGUAGAAAGCUCUUCGAUUGCUUGUUUGGACGAGAGUUCGAUUCUCUCCGUCUCCACAU